This 675-nucleotide ribosomal RNA is filed under the name uncultured Alphaproteobacteria bacterium. Its description in RNAcentral is "bacterial SSU rRNA". It matches the Rfam family "Bacterial small subunit ribosomal RNA", at positions 28 to 749 of the family's 1533-position model. Lineage: Bacteria; Pseudomonadati; Pseudomonadota; Alphaproteobacteria. The record is from RNAcentral.
AACGAACGCUGGCGGCAUGCCUAAUACAUGCAAGUCGAACGAGAUCUUCGGAUCUAGUGGCGCACGGGUGCGUAACGCGUGGGAAUCUGCCCUUGGGUUCGGAAUAACAUCUGGAAACGGAUGCUAAUACCGGAUGAUGACGUAAGUCCAAAGAUUUAUCGCCCAAGGAUGAGCCCGCGUAGGAUUAGCUAGUUGGUGAGGUAAAGGCUCACCAAGGCUACGAUCCUUAGCUGGUCUGAGAGGAUGAUCAGCCACACUGGGACUGAGACACGGCCCAGACUCCUACGGGAGGCAGCAGUAGGGAAUAUUGGACAAUGGGGGCAACCCUGAUCCAGCAAUGCCGCGUGAGUGAUGAAGGCCUUAGGGUUGUAAAGCUCUUUUACCCGAGAUGAUAAUGACAGUAUCGGGAGAAUAAGCUCCGGCUAACUCCGUGCCAGCAGCCGCGGUAAUACGGAGGGAGCUAGCGUUGUUCGGAAUUACUGGGCGUAAAGCGCACGUAGGCGGUUAUUUAAGUCAGAGGUGAAAGCCCGGGGCUCAACCCCGGAACUGCCUUUGAGACUGGAUAACUUGAAUCCAGGAGAGGUGAGUGGAAUUCCGAGUGUAGAGGUGAAAUUCGUAGAUAUUCGGAAGAACACCAGUGGCGAAGGCGGCUCACUGGACUGGUAUUGACGCUGA